UUGCCACAAAGGAAAAAGAAGUCAGAGAGACCAAAAAUUCGUAGGAGCAUAAUUCAUUCCGUAACGAAAACUCACUUGGGAGAGCUAGACACUGAGGGGUAAAAGAGUUAUGCGUAGGCCAGGCUACGACUUAAAACUGUUGGGGGACUCGAGGAAUUCCAUAUAAAAUGGAAAGACUCAGCCGGGGAAACAACAACAUCUACAGGGGAUACAAGUAAGUCAGGAUAAAACUCAAUACUUGAAUCAUGC
RNAcentral lists this long non-coding RNA (249 nucleotides) under Lathyrus oleraceus (garden pea). RNAcentral describes it as "Pisum sativum (pea) long non-coding RNA (PSAT_LNC021125)". The record is from RNAcentral. Lineage: Eukaryota; Viridiplantae; Streptophyta; Magnoliopsida; Fabales; Fabaceae.